AAAUCCCUGCGGUGUACGCGUAAAUACUUUAUGUUUUGAGCCAACACAAUUAAUAUAUGGGAAUCCGGAUUUGGCUGUGGACAGUAUGCCUCCUGUGCUUGUGGACACUCGAAGCAGCCAUGGGGAUACCCACCUGCUCAGGCAGGUUCAAAACAUAAGGAGGGCGGCGGCAUUGCGGGGGUUUG
This 185-nucleotide non-coding RNA is filed under the name Acidaminococcales bacterium. Its description in RNAcentral is "6S RNA". It matches the Rfam family "6S / SsrS RNA". From Rfam's summary of the family: E. coli 6S RNA was the first non coding RNA to be sequenced, but its function was unknown until recently. It consists of 184 nucleotides that fold into an extended hairpin structure with a large single-stranded internal bulge. Lineage: Bacteria; Bacillati; Bacillota; Negativicutes; Acidaminococcales. The record is from RNAcentral.